This 253-nucleotide ribosomal RNA is filed under the name uncultured bacterium. RNAcentral describes it as "partial 16S ribosomal RNA". It matches the Rfam family "Bacterial small subunit ribosomal RNA", at positions 524 to 776 of the family's 1533-position model. The record is from RNAcentral.
UAUGGAGGGUGCAAGCGUUAUCCGGAUUCACUGGGUUUAAAGGGUGCGUAGGCGGGUAAGUAAGUCCGUGGUGAAAUCUCUGAGCUUAACUCAGAAACUGCCGUGGAUACUAUUUGCCUUGAAUAUUGUGGAGGUGAGCGGAAUAUGUCAUGUAGCGGUGAAAUGCUUAGAUAUGACAUAGAACACCAAUUGCGAAGGCAGCUCACUACACAAUCAUUGACGCUGAGGCACGAAAGCGUGGGGAUCAAACAGG